UCGAUCACACGCAGCAUACCAUAUGCGCACGGCGGCGUCCCCAUCCAUGGGUGAUCCCCCGACGGGAAAGCUCAGCGUCUCCCGCUUUAAAACCCUCGCCCCCGGCCCCGUACGCACGCAGUUGGUCACAGGCACCUCCAAGUCCAAACACAGGCGAAGAAUGGCGAGCCUGAGCGUGCCUCCGGUGCUCACGUCCCCGCGCCAUGACGCCAUCGCCCUCCACAGGGCCUUCAAAGGUUUUGGGUGCGACAGCACGACGGUGAUCAACAUCCUGGCGCACCGCGACGCGGUGCAGCGCGGGCUCAUCAUGCAGGAGUACAGGGCCAUAUACCACCAGGACCUCUACCAUCGCCUAUCGACCGAGCUCAGCGGGAACCACAAGAAGGCGAUGCUGCUGUGGGUGCUGGACCCCGUGGGCCGCGACGCCACGAUACUGAACCAGUCCCUCAACGGCGACAUCGCCGACCUGCGCGCCGCCACGGAGGUGAUCUGCUCCCGGACGCCGUCGCAGCUGCAGAUCAUGAAGCAGGCCUACCGCGCCCGCUUCGGCUGCUACCUCGAGCAGGACGUCACCGAGCGCACCUACGGCGACCACCAGAAGCUUCUGCUGGCCUACCUGGGCAUCCCGCGGUACGAGGGCCCGGAGGUGGACCCGUCGGCGGCGGCGCGCGACGCGAGGGAGCUCUACCGCGCCGGCGAGAAGCGGCUGGGCACCGACGAGCGGGCCUUCAUCCGCGUCUUCACCGAGCGCAGCUGGGCGCACCUCGCCGCCGUCGCCGACGCCUACCACCACCUCUACGCGCGCUCCCUGGACAAGGCUGUGAAGAGCGAGACGUCGGGCACCUUCGAGUUGGGGCUGCUGACGAUCCUCCGGUGCGCCGAGAGCCCGGCGAGGUACUUCGCCAAGGCGCUGCACAAGGCGAUGAAGGGGCUGGGCACAAGCGACACGACGCUGAUACGGGUGGUGGUCACCAGGGCGGAGGUGGACAUGCAGUACAUCAAGGCCGAGUACCACAAGAAGUACAAGCGCUCGCUGGCCGACGCCAUCCACUCCGAGACCUCCGGCAACUACCGGACCUUCCUCCUCUCCCUCGUCGGCCGCGACCGCUAAGAGGCGAUGAUCGACCAUCGAUCUCAACGCCGCACCGCCAAGACCGCCUUGCGUGAUCGAUUGGUCGGUCAGUCUACCUGUAAAUACAGAUUAAUGCCAAUGAGUCCACUGGAAGUUGAGAAGGCAAAUAGGUAAAGUAAUAACCAGUACUAAAUUGGAGAGCAAGCAUGCCAGAACAGAGUCCCUGUUUCUGAUCUAUAUUCACAGGCAAGAGUACAAAUGGGGAUAAUCCGGCUGCAAUGGUAAGUAUUUUUUAUCUACAUACCCAAUAAAGGUACAGGUUGUGUCGGGACACUUAUCACUUUAUUUAUGGAAAUAACUGUUUACCAUAAAUCGCAUCUGAUGAAUGGCUAUAAAAACUGUGGAAGUUUCCUAAUAGUUCUUAAUCACGUUUUAUUUGUCUUCAUGGUAAUACCUCACUCCUCUACAUCUCUCCACAGUCUCAUCUCCUUCCCUCCUUUGUCUACUCAAUGACACACUUUAGUGGCAAUUGGGGAGAAUUAUGAUCAUCAGCAAGGAUGGAGGGAGCUACUCAAUGGCACAGUUUAGUGCCUAUUGGGGGAAGUUAAUAAUCAUCAGCAAGAUAUAUAAACAAAACUGACAGAGAGAUGGCAUACCAGUAGCAAUCAUGACUCCAACAAUUGCAGAGAUAACAGUGGCGGAAACGACGAAUAUGGCAAUUGAUACUGCUCCGACAUACACUGCAACUAAGCAAGCAAAGAACAAGGCCAGGAAUCCUCCAGCAGCUGCCAAGGACAUAAGAACUGAAACGAUAAUGGCAUUAGCGGUCGCAACCAGAAGGAAGGAC
Triticum aestivum (bread wheat) is the source of this 1919-nucleotide RNA transcript. It is a transcript of the gene named annexin D5, with no coding region annotated. The record is from RefSeq and is a predicted model, not a curated record. The transcript has 7 exons. Lineage: Eukaryota; Viridiplantae; Streptophyta; Magnoliopsida; Poales; Poaceae.